Molecule: long non-coding RNA, 640 nt
Organism: Macrobrachium nipponense
Lineage: Eukaryota; Metazoa; Arthropoda; Malacostraca; Decapoda; Palaemonidae
Exons: 4
Source: RefSeq, a predicted model, not a curated record
CUCCAGUUCACUUCAGAAGUGCUGCCUUUGCAACGGUGCCUCCUGAGGACCUCAGUCUUUGUUGCUGAGCUCUUGAGCAAACAUCUACAAUCGACCGUCGCUCGGUUGAGCAACUGACUGAUUUUCCAGAGGAUGCUUCCAUUCUUCACAACCACUGGUUGCUGUGGAUGUCGACGUGAUAACCCACAGGCAGUUAUUAAGCGAAGAGUUUACCAAAGAUUGUGGGGUAGCGUUACCAUCACGUGUCGUGUGAUGUAGAUUGAUUUUACUGGCAAUGACACCAACAACAUUAUCAAAUUUCUGGACGCUGUCAGACUCUGGAGAUGGCCCGAAACGAGACUCCUGAUCAUCGGCCCAAGAGGUGAUGUGAGGUCCUUGCUCGACAAUGAUGCCUUCAAAAACUCCUUUAUGUCCUGUUCGUAGGACUUCAGGAGAAUUCCACUCAUCCUUCCUCAACUGCUAAUCUCUCCGAUUCCUCGAAGCGCAGCAUCUGGGAAUACUUGAAUGCUAGUCCAAAGAGUAGAGGAUAUUCCUUCUUCAGUCGUUGCUUGUACUGCAACAGAGGCAAACCAGAAAUCAGACCCAUUCCGCCCCUGGUCACAUGGAUCAAGAGUACCUCAGCUGUACCUGCCAUUAUCUG